UACGGAGGGUGCAAGCGUUAAUCGGAAUUACUGGGCGUAAAGCGCGCGUAGGCGGUUUUGUAAGUCGGAUGUGAAAGCCCUGGGCUUAACCUGGGAAUUGCAUUCGAUACUGCAGAACUAGAGUUUGAGAGAGGGCAAUGGAAUAUCUGGUGUAGCAGUGAAAUGCGUAGAUAUCAGAUAGAACACCAAUGGCGAAGGCAGUUGCCUGGCUCAAUACUGACACUAAAGCACGAAAGUGUGGGGAGCAAACAGG
Molecule: unclassified non-coding RNA, 253 nt
Filed under: uncultured Gammaproteobacteria bacterium
Lineage: Bacteria; Pseudomonadati; Pseudomonadota; Gammaproteobacteria
Description: contains 16S-23S intergenic spacer region
Rfam family: Bacterial small subunit ribosomal RNA
Source: RNAcentral